UACGAAGGGGGCUAGCGUUGCUCGGAAUGACUGGGCGUAAAGGGCGCGUAGGCGGCAUGUACAGUCAGAAGUGAAAUUCCUGGGCUCAACCUGGGGACUGCUUUUGAUACGUGCAAGCUAGAGUGAGGAAGAGGGUUGUGGAAUUUCCAGUGUAGAGGUGAAAUUCGUAGAUAUUGGAAAGAACACCGGUGGCGAAGGCGGCAACCUGGUCCUUAACUGACGCUGAGGCGCGAAAGCGUGGGGAGCAAACAGG
This 253-nucleotide ribosomal RNA is filed under the name uncultured bacterium. Its description in RNAcentral is "partial 16S ribosomal RNA". It matches the Rfam family "Bacterial small subunit ribosomal RNA", at positions 524 to 776 of the family's 1533-position model. The record is from RNAcentral.